This 1093-nucleotide long non-coding RNA is filed under the name Androctonus crassicauda. The record is from RNAcentral. Lineage: Eukaryota; Metazoa; Arthropoda; Arachnida; Scorpiones; Buthidae.
GGUUUGUGUGUGUCUCAAAAACAAGUUGAUUCUGGCUGAAUAAACAUGGCUGUGGCAUGAGUAAGGAUGGGGCAGGAGAUUUGGAAGACACAAUAAGUCAGACAACACAAGUUAACAUUAACAAUAUGUGUUUAAAUAGAGAGAUUCUUGCUCAUUAUUUUACAUAUUAACAAUUUAACAUAUUGGUGGGAAGGAUAAAUAUCUUAUUGUGGAUUGACAAUUGAUGGUUUGUUGACGUCUUUAAUUCAGGUCUUCAAUGCAGAUGUAUAGGGUGAAAUGAGGAACGAUGACAGUAUUAUAACUUCAUGAAUAGAUGAAGAUAUCUCAUGGGAAACAGACAGAAAAUUCGGAUGGAGAUACAACUGGAAGACAUUGGUGGACAAACAAGAAGGAAUAUUCGGCGCUGAAGGAUGGAUGAACUUGGAUGAAGUUGGUGUCGAAAGAUGGAUGAGCCAGGAAAAAAUGACAAUAAAUGACUGGCAGAUUAGGAAGAGGACAGAGAUGAUGGUUGUAGGAAACCAAAAAAAAAGACCCCAACCCUUUGUUCAGCAAGUUUUUUAUAUCGUUAUCUAUCUCCUCCCCCAUUGGUCCACUGGGCAGUGUGGGUCUCAAGGUGACCCUUCUUGGCCCAGGUUUCUCCCUCAGAUCAUAUCUAUUUUUGAUAGUCUAGGUUAUAAAUUCAUAAUUGUCACUUGAGUAAAAGUUGUUUUCAUUUUGGUUUCUGGCACAGUCUUCUUAUCUCUAUGUUUUAUGAUAAAUCUGGUUAUUCUUGCUCUUAAUUAUCAUUUCAGUACAUAAUGUUUUUCAAGAGUAACAGAAAUACGUGUUAUUGAUUAAAUUGUUUUUGUUCCUUAUCAGAUCACAUGAUCCUCACACACCUGUAAAAGAAGCAACAAAACAGUCAUAAAAUGUAAAGGAUACAGACUAGCUCAAAAUCUGUAUCCUUAAAAAUUGCAUCUUAAAAAUAGAUUGUAUAUAAGUUAUUUAUUUAUAAAACAAUACUAAUUAUUCAUCGUUAUUGUCUCAUUAUGGUCUAAAGCAGGGGUCACCAAACUACGGCCCGCGGGCCGGACGCCAGUUUAUCAGGCCCGCC